ACAGAAUAGAUCCUCUCCAACAUUCCCAACUUCCUAAGCCUUCAGUUUCCUUUUCUUUAAAAUGCUAGAAAAGUCCUCAUUAACUGCCAGCCACUGUUGAAUGAGACUUCUGCUAGCCAGCGUAGUUAUGAAGACCACUCCCAGGUGCUCAAGCCAGCACAGUAAAUCCUGAAUCUUGACUGAAUCCACCCAUAUCAUCACAUUCUCCUUGAUCGAGUUUUGCAUUUAAUCCUUCUCCAACUAAUACCCAUAGGACUCCCUUCCUUACAUGCUCUGCACACUUCUGUCAAUUUUCUUGCAACUCUUCUGAUGUUCAGAUCCAGGUUUAUCCUUCCCCAUCUGGGAUAUACUGGGAUGUAGCUCUCAUUAUAGGCCUGGAGGCAAUGAGGGAUGUGAAAGUGGAUCCCAAGGUCAGGAGUUUGAGACCAGCCUGGCCAACAUGGCAAAACCCCAUCUCUACUAAAAAUACAAAAAUUAGCCAGGCUUGAUGGCAGAUGGCUGUAGUCCCAGCUAUGCAGGAGGCUGAGGCAGGAGAAUCGCUUGUACCCAGGAGGUGGAGUUUACAGUGAGCUGAGAUCAUGCCACUGCACUCCAGCCUGCAUGACAGUACAAGACUCCAUCUCAAAAAAAAAAAAAAGGCAAGCCACUGAGGCGAGAGAGGAGUGAGAUGGGUUGUUAAGAGAGGACAAGGAGGCCAGGUGCAGUGGUUCAUGCUUAUAAUUUCAGCUACUUGGGAACAGAGGUGGGAGGAGCGCUUGAGCACAGGAGUUCAAGACAAUAGUGAGUCGUGAUAGUGACACUCACUCCAACCUGGGUUACAGAGCAAGCCGCCAUCUCUUAAAAAAAAAAAAUUGAGUAGGAGAAGAGAACAAAGUAGGGCUCAGUCAGCUAUCAACUACUCACUUCCAUUCUGACAGUCUUGGCUUUCUAUCUUCCUCUCUGGGCAUUUCUGCUCAGAGUCCAUUAGGGGUUCACUUUUUUCCUGCCUAUCCCCUAACUGCUGACGCCACUUAGAGUUCUCCAGCUGCACAUGCUCUCUGAGAGAUCAGUACGCCGCCAUGGCCUCUGCCGCUGUCACGCACAGAUGAUGCACAGAUGGCUGGCCCAGCUUGGUCUCAGGAGCUCAGUUCCCACCCAUCUAGAAGUUGGCAGAAAUUGAGGCAGAAGGAGGAACGCUG
Molecule: long non-coding RNA, 1178 nt
Filed under: Callithrix jacchus (white-tufted-ear marmoset)
Lineage: Eukaryota; Metazoa; Chordata; Mammalia; Primates; Cebidae
Description: lncRNA (ENSCJAG00000072235.1)
Source: RNAcentral